RNAcentral lists this ribosomal RNA (381 nucleotides) under uncultured crenarchaeote. RNAcentral's name for it is "bacterial SSU rRNA". It matches the Rfam family "Archaeal small subunit ribosomal RNA", at positions 471 to 851 of the family's 1478-position model. The record is from RNAcentral. Lineage: Archaea; Thermoproteati; Thermoproteota.
UAAAACCAGCACCUCAAGUGGUCAGGAUGAUUAUUGGGCCUAAAGCAUCCGUAGCCGGCUUUGUUAGUUUUCGGUUAAAUCCAUGUGCUCAACGCAUGGGCUGCCGAAAAUACUGCAUGGCUAGGGAGUGGGAGAGGUAGACGGUACUCAGUAGGAAGGGGUAAAAUCCUUUGAUCUAUUGAUGACCACCUGUGGCGAAGGCGGUCUACCAGAACACGUUCGACGGUGAGGGAUGAAAGCUGGGGGAGCAAACCGGAUUAGAUACCCGGGUAGUCCCAGCUGUAAACGAUGCAGACUCGAUGAUGCAUUGGCAUAAUAGCCAGUGCAGUGUCGCAGGGAAGCCGUUAAGUCUGCCGCCUGGGAAGUACGUACGCAAGUAUG